CGAGAGUUUGGAUCCUGGCUCAGGAUGAACGCUGGCGGCGUGCUUAACACAUGCAAGUCGAACGAUGAAGCCGAAGCUUGCUUUGGUGGAUUAGUGGCGAACGGGUGAGUAACACGUGAGUAACCUGCCCCUGACUCUGGGAUAAGCCUGGGAAACUGGGUCUAAUACCGGAUAUGACCAUGGAACGCAUGUUCUGUGGUGGAAAGAUUUAUCGGUUGGGGAUGGACUCGCGGCCUAUCAGCUUGUUGGUGAGGUAAUGGCUCACCAAGGCGACGACGGGUAGCCGGCCUGAGAGGGUGACCGGCCACACUGGGACUGAGACACGGCCCAGACUCCUACGGGAGGCAGCAGUGGGGAAUAUUGCACAAUGGGCGAAAGCCUGAUGCAGCGACGCCGCGUGAGGGAUGACGGCCUUCGGGUUGUAAACCUCUUUCAGUAGGGAAGAAGCGAGAGUGACGGUACCUGCAGAAGAAGCGCCGGCUAACUACGUGCCAGCAGCCGCGGUAAUACGUAGGGCGCAAGCGUUAUCCGGAUUUAUUGGGCGUAAAGAGCUCGUAGGCGGUUUGUCGCGUCUGCCGUGAAAGUCCGAGGCUCAACCUCGGAUCUGCGGUGGGUACGGGCAGACUAGAGUGAUGUAGGGGAGACUGGAAUUCCUGGUGUAGCGGUGAAAUGCGCAGAUAUCAGGAGGAACACCGAUGGCGAAGGCAGGUCUCUGGGCAUUUACUGACGCUGAGGAGCGAAAGCAUGGGGAGCGAACAGGAUUAGAUACCCUGGUAGUCCAUGCCGUAAACGUUGGGCACUAGGUGUGGGGGACAUUCCACGUUUUCCGCGCCGUAGCUAACGCAUUAAGUGCCCCGCCUGGGGAGUACGGCCGCAAGGCUAAAACUCAAAGGAAUUGACGGGGGCCCGCACAAGCGGCGGAGCAUGCGGAUUAAUUCGAUGCAACGCGAAGAACCUUACCAAGGCUUGACAUGUUCCAGACCGGGCUAGAGAUAGUCCUUCCCUUCGGGGCUGGUUCACAGGUGGUGCAUGGUUGUCGUCAGCUCGUGUCGUGAGAUGUUGGGUUAAGUCCCGCAACGAGCGCAACCCUCGUUCCAUGUUGCCAGCACGUAGUGGUGGGGACUCAUGGGAGACUGCCGGGGUCAACUCGGAGGAAGGUGGGGAUGACGUCAAAUCAUCAUGCCCCUUAUGUCUUGGGCUUCACGCAUGCUACAAUGGCCGGUACAAUGGGUUGCGAUACUGUGAGGUGGAGCUAAUCCCUAAAAGCCGGUCUCAGUUCGGAUUGGGGUCUGCAACUCGACCCCAUGAAGUCGGAGUCUGCUAGUAAUC
RNAcentral lists this ribosomal RNA (1329 nucleotides) under Glutamicibacter uratoxydans. RNAcentral describes it as "bacterial SSU rRNA". It matches the Rfam family "Bacterial small subunit ribosomal RNA", at positions 1 to 1343 of the family's 1533-position model. Lineage: Bacteria; Bacillati; Actinomycetota; Actinomycetes; Micrococcales; Micrococcaceae. The record is from RNAcentral.